UACGUAGGGACCGAGCGUUGUCCGGAAUCAUUGGGCGUAAAGCGCGUGUAGGCGGCUCGGUAAGUCUGCUGUGAAAGUCCAGGGCUCAACCCUGGGAUGCCGGUGGAUACUGUCGAGCUCGAGUCCGGAAGAGGCGAGUGGAAUUCCUGGUGUAGCGGUGAAAUGCGCAGAUAUCAGGAGGAACACCAAUGGCGAAGGCAGCUCGCUGGGACGUGACUGACGCUGAGACGCGAAAGCGUGGGGAGCAAACAGG
Molecule: ribosomal RNA, 253 nt
Filed under: uncultured bacterium
Lineage: Bacteria
Description: partial 16S ribosomal RNA
Rfam family: Bacterial small subunit ribosomal RNA
Source: RNAcentral